UUUCGUCUCUUUUCAAAAGAGAAAAUCUUUGGCUGCUUACUUGGGAAAUGGAAGUCAAGUUACAAUUUCUUGAGAAGGUUUGGUUCAUACUUUGCAUCUUUUCCUUUUGGACGGAAUCCUUUCUGCACUGUUAGUCCUUCCAUGUGAUUUGAGUGAGACUGACCCUGCCUACCAACCCAGGGGUGGCCAACCAGAGUACUCUAUUUCCUGGCUACAAUGAUUGACUUAGUGAGGAGUCUGUGAUCCCAGAAGGGUUUGGGGAGUCAGAGGUUACAGGAAGGAUUCAUGGAAUCCCCAGAAGGCUGGAAGAUCAGGGUUGAGACAGUCGGAACCAAGGAAGCUCUGGAAACUUAAGAAGUAGGAGGCACAGCAAGUCUCACGGCAAGAAGAGCUUGAUAUGAGUACUAUUGGCUAGAGAAGUUUAGUAACUUUCCUGAAGUUUUACAGAAGAUAAGUAUAGAGUGGGAACUCAAAACUAUUUCUGUCUGAUUCCAAAGCCCUUUUAAUAUUUUGUAUUGCUUAAGUAGCAAGAAUAGAGUUUGUAAGAACAUACAAUAUCAAUAAAUGUUUCAUGUCCUUCAUCAUUAACUACUCCAGUUAGUAUCAACCGGGAACUUACUUGGAAUGUACAUUCUCUGCCCCCUCAACAGACCUACUGAAUCAAAAACUCUGGAGGUCAGGCCCAGAAAUCUGUCUUUUGGCAUACUUUCCAGGGUAAAAUGUUUAGCAUUCUGGUGUUUUUUCU
Molecule: long non-coding RNA, 745 nt
Filed under: Homo sapiens (human)
Lineage: Eukaryota; Metazoa; Chordata; Mammalia; Primates; Hominidae
Description: HSALNT0192017
Source: RNAcentral